AGAGUUUGAUCCUGGCUCAGGACGAACGCUGGCGGCGUGCUUAACACAUGCAAGUCGAACGAUGAACCACUUCGGUGGGGAUUAGUGGCGAACGGGUGAGUAACACGUGGGCAAUCUGCCCUGCACUCUGGGACAAGCCCUGGAAACGGGGUCUAAUACCGGAUACUGACCCGCUUGGGCAUCCAAGCGGUUCGAAAGCUCCGGCGGUGCAGGAUGAGCCCGCGGCCUAUCAGCUUGUUGGUGAGGUAAUGGCUCACCAAGGCGACGACGGGUAGCCGGCCUGAGAGGGCGACCGGCCACACUGGGACUGAGACACGGCCCAGACUCCUACGGGAGGCAGCAGUGGGGAAUAUUGCACAAUGGGCGAAAGCCUGAUGCAGCGACGCCGCGUGAGGGAUGACGGCCUUCGGGUUGUAAACCUCUUUCAGCAGGGAAGAAGCGAAAGUGACGGUACCUGCAGAAGAAGCGCCGGCUAACUACGUGCCAGCAGCCGCGGUAAUACGUAGGGCGCGAGCGUUGUCCGGAAUUAUUGGGCGUAAAGAGCUCGUAGGCGGCUUGUCACGUCGGUUGUGAAAGCCCGGGGCUUAACCCCGGGUCUGCAGUCGAUACGGGCAGGCUAGAGUUCGGUAGGGGAGAUCGGAAUUCCUGGUGUAGCGGUGAAAUGCGCAGAUAUCAGGAGGAACACCGGUGGCGAAGGCGGAUCUCUGGGCCGAUACUGACGCUGAGGAGCGAAAGCGUGGGGAGCGAACAGGAUUAGAUACCCUGGUAGUCCACGCCGUAAACGGUGGGCACUAGGUGUGGGCGACAUUCCACGUCGUCCGUGCCGCAGCUAACGCAUUAAGUGCCCCGCCUGGGGAGUACGGCCGCAAGGCUAAAACUCAAAGGAAUUGACGG
RNAcentral lists this ribosomal RNA (894 nucleotides) under uncultured Streptomyces sp. RNAcentral's name for it is "bacterial SSU rRNA". It matches the Rfam family "Bacterial small subunit ribosomal RNA", at positions 8 to 916 of the family's 1533-position model. The record is from RNAcentral. Lineage: Bacteria; Bacillati; Actinomycetota; Actinomycetes; Kitasatosporales; Streptomycetaceae.